ACUCUGGUACAUUGAUUCCAUCCCAGCCACUACACUGAGCCCGUCUUCCUAUAGCUCCUACUACCAGCCUCCACUGCUUAGUCGUAUGUCUCCAUUUUAGAAAAACAAGAAAGGAAAGAAGGGCAGUAAGAAGAAGAAGAAGAAAGAGAAGGAUCUGACUGCCGACAGAACCCUUGAGUCUCUGUAUGAAGAGCUGGUGCUGGAAGGCUUCUUGAUUAGACCCUUGAACAUCAAGCUCUCUGAGUACAUUGCUACUGGGCUGAAGCUAAACCAGGGAUCCUAAUGGUAAUAGAAUACAACUCACUGAUGUUCACCCCAACCCUGAAGGGACAUGAUCUUUCUCCUCAACACGUCUCAUGUCACCUGGCGUUAAGACCCAUUUCCAUCCCACCCCCCUACGCCAGCGUUGUGGACCCCCAGAUGGAGCUCCUGAAGAGGGGAGGGUUACUGAACAAACAGGCCACCCACCCUGGAGAAGAAGAGGAUAUCUUUCAGCACCUCAGACCUAAUCAAAGGCAAUAUGACUACCAGAGGCCUGGAUGGGCUGGUGUGGAUGUCCAUCACCACCACCACCUCCUUCGUCACUAGCACCACCAUCACCACCACCACCACAGCC
This is a non-coding RNA of Salmo salar (Atlantic salmon), 616 nucleotides long. The record is from RefSeq and is a predicted model, not a curated record. NCBI's taxonomy places the organism in Eukaryota, Metazoa, Chordata, Actinopteri, Salmoniformes, Salmonidae.